UGAACCUGCGGAAGGAUCAUUC
This 22-nucleotide ribosomal RNA is filed under the name Paramecium multimicronucleatum. Its description in RNAcentral is "partial 18S ribosomal RNA". Lineage: Eukaryota; Ciliophora; Oligohymenophorea; Peniculida; Parameciidae. The record is from RNAcentral. RNAcentral also lists the same sequence under 4 other names.